Molecule: long non-coding RNA, 530 nt
Organism: Lontra canadensis (Northern American river otter)
Lineage: Eukaryota; Metazoa; Chordata; Mammalia; Carnivora; Mustelidae
Exons: 2
Source: RefSeq, a predicted model, not a curated record
GUGUUAAACCUUCCCAUGUGCUAUGGGACAUAAAACACAGCUGGCCUCUGCCCACUAGUUGCCAGCAACACCUCCAAUCAUUUCUAAAACCAUUGCUCCAAGCCAAUCAUAUGGGUUCUAUCACUGCCACCCUCACCAAUAACUGGCUCAUAAAUCCAGCCUUCACUGUCCAGUGCCUGGCUGUGGUUGGUUUGAGAAGAGGAAACAUGAUGUAAUGUCAGCCAAUGAAACACAGAGUAAGUUUGCUGGGCGCCUGGCAGGAAGUUUCCUAGGAGAAAACCACAGGAAAGACAGUCUCUUUCUUUUUCUCUUCAUGAUUACAAAUGGAUAUGAGGCCUGAAAAUUCUAAGCUCAUCUCAGAACCAGCUGGAGGAUGAAGUGAACAAGCAGGAGGGCUGAGCCAGAAGCACAGGAGAACUGAGCUAAAAGUACUUUGAUACAUACAUGAACAACUUCACAAGACAAAGAAUAAGACCUGGUUGGGGAAAAAAAAAAAAAAAAGCCAUACCAAAACAACAUUAACAGGUAAG